RNAcentral lists this ribosomal RNA (913 nucleotides) under uncultured bacterium. Its description in RNAcentral is "bacterial SSU rRNA". It matches the Rfam family "Bacterial small subunit ribosomal RNA", at positions 589 to 1504 of the family's 1533-position model. The record is from RNAcentral.
CAGAUGUGAAUCCCCGAGCUCACUUGGGAACUGCGUUGAAACUACAAGACUAGAAUAUGUCAGAGGGGGGUAGAAUUCCACGUGUAGCAGUGAAAUGCGUAGAGAUGUGAGGAAUACCAAUGGCGAAGGCAGCCCCCUGGGAUAAUAUUGACGCUCAUGCACGAAAGCGUGGGGAGCAAACAGGAUUAGAUACCCUGGUAGUCCACGCCCUAAACGAUGUCUACUAGUUGUUGGUGGAGUAAAAUCCAUGAGUAACGCAGCUAACGCGUGAAGUAGACCGCCUGGGGAGUACGGUCGCAAGAUUAAAACUCAAAUGAAUUGACGGGGGCCCGCACAAGCGGUGGAUUAUGUGGAUUAAUUCGAUGCAACGCGAAAAACCUUACCUGGCCUUGACAUGUAGCGAACUUUCCAGAGAUGGAUUGGUGCCCGAAAGGGAGCGCUAACACAGGUGCUGCAUGGCUGUCGUCAGCUCGUGUCGUGAGAUGUUGGGUUAAGUCCCGCAACGAGCGCAACCCUUGCCAUUAAUUGCCAUCAUUUAGUUGGGCACUUUAAUGGGACUGCCGGUGACAAACCGGAGGAAGGUGGGGAUGACGUCAAGUCCUCAUGGCCCUUAUGGCCAGGGCUUCACACGUAAUACAAUGGUCGGUACAGAGGGUCGCCAACCCGCGAGGGGGAGCAAAUCCCAGAAAGCCGAUCGUAGUCCGGAUUGUAGUCUGCAACUCGACUACAUGAAGUCGGAAUCGCUAGUAAUCGCGGAUCAGCAUGUCGCGGUGAAUACGUUCCCGGGCCUUGUACACACCGCCCGUCACACCAUGGGAGUGGGUUUUACCAGAAGUAGGUAGUCUAACCGUAAGGAGGACGCUUACCACGGUAGUAUUCAUGACUGGGGUGAAGUCGUAAAAAGGUAACCGUA